RNAcentral lists this ribosomal RNA (484 nucleotides) under uncultured bacterium. Its description in RNAcentral is "partial 16S ribosomal RNA". It matches the Rfam family "Bacterial small subunit ribosomal RNA", at positions 30 to 507 of the family's 1533-position model. The record is from RNAcentral.
AUUGAACGCUGGCGGCAGGCCUAACACAUGCAAAUCGAGCGGAUGAAGGGAGCUUGCUCCUGGAUUCAGCGGCGGACGGGUGAGUAAUGCCUAGGAAUCUGCCUGGUAGUGGGGGAUAACGUCCGGAAACGGGCGCUAAUACCGCAUACGUCCUGAGGGAGAAAGUGGGGGAUCUUCGGACCUCACGCUAUCAGAUGAGCCCAGGUCGGAUUAGCUAGUUGGUGGGGUAAAGGCUUACCAAGGCGACGAUCCGUAACUGGUCUGAGAGGAUGAUCAGUCACACUGGAACUGAGACACGGUCCAGACUCCUACGGGAGGCAGCAGUGGGGAAUAUUGGACAAUGGGCGAAAGCCUGAUCCAGCCAUGCCGCGUGUGUGAAGAAGGUCUUCGGAUUGUAAAGCACUUUAAGUUGGGAGGAAGGGCAGUAAGUUAAUACCUUGCUGUUUUGACGUUACCAACAGAAUAAGCACCGGCUAACUUCGUG